UACGUAGGGGGCUAGCGUUGUCCGGAAUCAUUGGGCGUAAAGAGCGUGUAGGCGGCCCGGUAAGUCCGCUGUGAAAGUCGGGGGCUCAACCCUCGAAUGCCGGUGGAUACUGUCGGGCUAGAGUGCGGAAGAGGCGAGUGGAAUUCCCGGUGUAGCAGUGAAAUGCGUAGAGAUCGGGAGGAACAUCAGUUGCGAAGGCGGCUCUCUGGACCAGCACUGACACUGAGGCACGAAAGCGUGGGGAGCAAACAGG
RNAcentral lists this ribosomal RNA (253 nucleotides) under uncultured bacterium. Its description in RNAcentral is "partial 16S ribosomal RNA". It matches the Rfam family "Bacterial small subunit ribosomal RNA", at positions 524 to 776 of the family's 1533-position model. The record is from RNAcentral.